RNAcentral lists this ribosomal RNA (439 nucleotides) under uncultured Eubacterium sp. RNAcentral describes it as "bacterial SSU rRNA". It matches the Rfam family "Bacterial small subunit ribosomal RNA", at positions 338 to 792 of the family's 1533-position model. Lineage: Bacteria; Bacillati; Bacillota; Clostridia; Eubacteriales; Eubacteriaceae. The record is from RNAcentral.
CCUACGGGAGGCAGCAGUGGGGAAUAUUGCACAAUGGGCGCAAGCCUGAUGCAGCAACGCCGCGUGAAGGAUGAAGGCCUUCGGGUUGUAAACUUCUGUCCUAGGGGAAGAAACAAAUGACAUUACCCUUGGAGGAAGCCCCGGCUAACUACGUGCCAGCAGCCGCGGUAAUACGUAGGGGGCGAGCGUUAUCCGGAAUUAUUGGGCGUAAAGAGUGCGUAGGUGGCACCUUAAGCGCAGGGUUUAAGGCAAUGGCUCAACCAUUGUUCGCCUUGCGAACUGGGGUGCUUGAGUGCAGGAGGGGAAAGUGGAAUUCCUAGUGUAGCGGUGAAAUGCGUAGAUAUUAGGAGGAACACCAGUGGCGAAGGCGACUUUCUGGACUGUUACUGACACUGAGGCACGAAAGCGUGGGGAGCAAACAGGAUUAGAUACCCCAGUA